UACAUGGGGUGCAAACGUUGCUCGGAAUUAUUGGGCGUAAAGCGCACGUAGGCGGUUCGUUAAGUCGGAUGUGAAAGCCCUCGGCUCAACUGAGGAAGUGCACCCGAAACUGGCGAGCUUGAGUACGAAAGAGGAUCGCGGAAUUCCCGGUGUAGAGGUGAAAUUCGUAGAUAUCGGGAGGAACACCGGUGGCGAAGGCGGCGAUCUGGGUCGAUACUGACGCUGAGGUGGCGGAAAGCGUGGGGAGCAACAGG
Molecule: ribosomal RNA, 254 nt
Filed under: uncultured bacterium
Lineage: Bacteria
Description: partial 16S ribosomal RNA
Rfam family: Bacterial small subunit ribosomal RNA
Source: RNAcentral